RNAcentral lists this ribosomal RNA (252 nucleotides) under uncultured Mollicutes bacterium. Its description in RNAcentral is "partial 16S ribosomal RNA". It matches the Rfam family "Bacterial small subunit ribosomal RNA", at positions 524 to 776 of the family's 1533-position model. Lineage: Bacteria; Bacillati; Mycoplasmatota; Mollicutes. The record is from RNAcentral.
UACGUAGGUGGCGAGCGUUAUCCGGAUUUAUUGGGCGUAAAGCGUGCGCAGGCGGUUUAUUAAGUCUAAGAUUAAAGCCCGGAGCUUAACUCCGGUUCGUCUUAGAAACUGGUAGACUUGAGUAUGGUAGAGGCAAAUGGAAUUCCUAGUGUAGCGGUGAAAUGCGUAGAUAUUAGGAGGAACACCAGUGGCGAAGGCGGCUUACUGGACUGUAACUGACGUUGAGGCUCGAAAGCGUGGGGAGCAAACAGG